RNAcentral lists this ribosomal RNA (396 nucleotides) under uncultured bacterium. Its description in RNAcentral is "bacterial SSU rRNA". It matches the Rfam family "Bacterial small subunit ribosomal RNA", at positions 975 to 1375 of the family's 1533-position model. The record is from RNAcentral.
CAGGGCUUGACAUCCCGGUGACCGGACUAGAGAUAGUCUUUUCCCUUCGGGGACACCGGUGACAGGUGGUGCAUGGUUGUCGUCAGCUCGUGUCGUGAGAUGUUGGGUUAAGUCCCGCAACGAGCGCAACCCUUAUUGUUAGUUGCUACGCAAGAGCACUCUAGCGAGACUGCCGUUGACAAAACGGAGGAAGGUGGGGACGACGUCAAAUCAUCAUGCCCCUUAUGUCCUGGGCCACACACGUACUACAAUGGUGGUUAACAGAGGGAAGCAAUCCCGCGAGGAGGAGCAAAUCCCUAAAAGCCAUCCCAGUUCGGAUCGCAGGCUGCAACCCGCCUGCGUGAAGUUGGAAUCGCUAGUAAUCGCGGAUCAGCAUGCCGCGGUGAGUACGUUCCC